RNAcentral lists this ribosomal RNA (484 nucleotides) under uncultured bacterium. RNAcentral describes it as "partial 16S ribosomal RNA". It matches the Rfam family "Bacterial small subunit ribosomal RNA", at positions 28 to 507 of the family's 1533-position model. The record is from RNAcentral.
AUUGAACGCUGGCGGCAUGCUUUACACAUGCAAGUCGAACGGCAGCGCGGGCUUCGGCCUGGCGGCGAGUGGCGAACGGGUGAGUAAUGCAUCGGAACGUGCCCAGUAGUGGGGGAUAGCCCGGCGAAAGCCGGAUUAAUGCCGCAUACGACCUGAGGGUGAAAGCGGGGGACCGAAAGGCCUCGCGCUAUUGGAGCGGCCGAUGUCGGAUUAGCUAGUUGGUGGGGUAAAGGCUUACCAAGGCGACGAUCCGUAGCUGGUCUGAGAGGACGACCAGCCACACUGGGACUGAGACACGGCCCAGACUCCUACGGGAGGCAGCAGUGGGGAAUUUUGGACAAUGGGGGCUACCCUGAUCCAGCCAUGCCGCGUGCGGGAAGAAGGCCUUCGGGUUGUAAACCGCUUUUGUUCGGGAAGAAAUCCUCUGGGCUAAUACCCCGGGGGGAUGACGGUACCGGAAGAAUAAGCACCGGCUAACUACGUG